Molecule: long non-coding RNA, 594 nt
Organism: Myotis davidii
Lineage: Eukaryota; Metazoa; Chordata; Mammalia; Chiroptera; Vespertilionidae
Exons: 3
Source: RefSeq, a predicted model, not a curated record
ACACUGCAGCUUGACAAAUGCUGAUGCCACCACUGCUGAAACUCCACUCCUCAAAUGACAGAGGAACCUUCCAGCAAGCCUCACACCUGCCUUCAGAAGGAGCAAGCGCAUCAUGAUGCUGAGCUCCCCUCUGACCACAGACACAGCUCUAAGGACACAGCCACCUACCUGCUGAAGGGGGUGAGACCAGGGCAAGGAGCAACUUCUCCUAAAAUAAGCACUCGCUCUCUGUCUUACCCAUAAGCAGCUCCACUGCCCCUGCCUGGCCCGAUGAGGUUCUGUGUCCUGGCCAUCUGCCCAAGCCUCGGCACACAGUGGUCACAGUUUAAGGAAUCAGUUUGGACCCUGCCUGCCAGUUCCUGCCUUCCUCAGCCCCUGCCAGCCGGAGCUAUGAGAUGCCAUCCUUCAGUCAACCUUGAGUGAGCAGUGUGUCUCCCAGUUCAAUGGGCAAACACCCCCCCUGGGGAUCAGGCCAACAUGGAUAUUCUGAUUCAUUAGGUCUGAGGUGGGAUCAGAUAUCUGUGUUUCCAAGUGAUGUGAAUAGCUCAUGAACUUCACUUUGAGGAGUAAGAAUGAGAAUGUAUGGACUAGCAA